GCAAGAAGUAAAAAAUGUUGCAUUGGAUUGAUUUAAGGGAUGUGAGUCUUCCACACUCGCUUCUUGUUCUUCUGCUAUGGCUUCUCUUUCUCUCUCCUUUUCUUCUUCCAUUGUUCCCUCUUCAAUUCCCCACCACAAAUCCACCAAAAUUCACACUCAAGACUCCACUUUUAGGGUUACCUGCUUCGCCAUUUCCUCUCCCCCUUCCAAACCCGUUGUCAAAAAGCGACACUGGAAAAAAGGGGAGUUUCCUGGUACUUCCGAAACAUCGUUAGACGAUAGUACGAGGAGGAGCCCCAUCAAGAACAUCAAGAAGAAGUUGGAGAAAAAGAACAGUGCGAAGGCAUGGGUCAACACUGUCACCGAAGCCUUAUCUGAACAAAUCGACAAGAAGCAGUGGCUUCAAGCCCUUCAGGUAUUUGAUAUGCUUAGGGAACAAACUUUCUACAAACCUAAAGAAGGGGCGUAUAUGAAACUCAUUGUGCUGCUUGGAAAAUCUGGUCAACCCCACCGUGCCCACCAACUUUUCACCACAAUGAUUGAAGAAGGUUUAGAACCUACUCCUUAUCUGUACACAGCAUUGCUUGCUGCGUAUUGCAGGAGCAACCUCAUUGAUGAAGCUUUUUCGGUUCUUAAUGAGAUGAAGAGGCUUCCUCUUUGCCAGCCUGAUGUUUUCACUUACAGUACCUUGAUCAAAGUUUGUGUUGAUGCUUUCAAAUUUGAUUUGGUUGAAUUAUUGUAUGAAGAAAUGGCUGAAAGGGCCAUCACACCAAACACAGUGACACAGAACAUCGUUUUGGGUGGUUAUGGUAAGGCGGGGAAGUUUGAUCAAAUGGAAAAAGUGCUUUCCAGCAUGCUGGAGAGCAUUACCUGCAAGCCUGAUGUUUGGACAAUGAACACCAUCAUCAGUGUCUUUGGUAACAUGGGUCAGAUUGAUAUGAUGGAGAAAUGGUAUGAAAAAUUCCGUAAUUUUGGGAUAGAACCUGAAACGCGCACUUUUAACAUUUUGAUUGGUGCCUAUGGGAAGAAAAAAAUGUAUGACAAAAUGUCAUCUGUCAUGGAGUACAUGCGCAAGUUGCAAUUUCCAUGGACAACCUCGACUUAUAACAAUGUGAUUGAGGCAUUUGCCGAUGCUGGUGAUGUGAGGCACAUGGAGUGUACAUUUGAUCAAAUGCGUGCUGAGGGUAUGAAAGCAGAUACCAAAACUUUCUGUUGCCUUAUCAAUGGUUAUGCAAAUGCAGGUUACUUUCAUAAAGUAAUUAGCAGUGUUCAAUUGGCUGGAAAAUUUGAGAUACCUGAAAAUAUUGCCUUUUAUAACGCAGUCUUAUCUGCAUGUGCAAAGGCAGAUGAUUUGAUGGAAAUGGAAAGAGUUUUUAAGCGUAUGAAAGAUAACCAAUGUCAACCGGACGAAACAACAUACAUGAUCAUGAUUGAAGCAUAUAGAAAAGACGGUAUGAAUGACAAAAUAUACUAUUUGGAGCAGGAAAAGCAGACAAUGAUAACUGACAAUAAAAUAGUGAGCCAUUAUGAGGAUGGGAUCUUUAGUUCAGACAGCUAAUGCAUCUGUAUUCCAUACUUAUUUUAUGGGAGCAGCUGCUUAUUUUUGUUUUGAAAUGGAAGAAGAGACCAGUUGCUGAUUUACGCAAUCAAGCUUCAGAUGUCAUGGUUUCUUUUAUUGGUAAAUACUUGUGUCACAACCCAUAAAUGAAGUAAAUCGGGGGUUGUCAUGAUGGGGAUCAAGCAGUAAGCAUCGGGCAUCGGGCCGAAAGAAAGGAUUGUCCAAGAAGCAGCCACAAAGUCCAAAGAGUGGAUUUUUUACAAAAGAAAAGGGAAAAAAUGAGCUGGCAGAAAAAUUAAUUAUAGAGAGAGAAUAGAAUCCUUUUAUUAAGGAGUACAAGAGUAUGGGGAAGAGGGAGCAAGAUUGACUUAUUAUGGUUGGAUCCAGUAGUUGUUACACUACUCUGUAAGGAGCUAUUGCUCUGGGGUAUUAGAAGGAAGUAUAAUUUUUAGUGCAUGUUCUUUUUUUGUUGAUUUCAGGGAUAAAUAAUACUAUUCACGUAUCUAUUCUACU
Molecule: RNA transcript, 2071 nt
Organism: Vigna unguiculata (cowpea)
Lineage: Eukaryota; Viridiplantae; Streptophyta; Magnoliopsida; Fabales; Fabaceae
Gene: PPR2
Gene name: Tetratricopeptide repeat (TPR)-like superfamily protein
Source: RefSeq, a predicted model, not a curated record